GGAGCGGACAUGACGUCUUCCGGGAGGCGGCGGGGUCUUUGUCUCGCUGCAGCGGGUGCUGCAGGUCUGGCCUUCACUUUUCUGCGUCCUCUUACUCCUAGAGGCCCAGCCUCUGUGGCGCUGUGAUCUGGUUAUUGGGAGAUUCACAGCUAAGACGCCAGGAUCCCCCGGAAGCCUAGAAAUGGGACCACUGACAUUUAUGGAUGUGGCCAUAGAGUUCUCUUUGGAGGAGUGGCAGUGCCUGGACACUGCACAGCGGAAUGUAUAUAGGCAUGUGAUGUUAGAGAACUACAGAAACCUGGUUUUCUUGGUGUUUUCCAAGCAGUGAAGCACUUGCCGUGUUGAACUGAAUGCACUACUGGAGAAUGUUCUGGGUCCAAGAUGCUCUUGAGAGAAGACUAGGCUUUUCAAAUCAAACACUCAAAGGAAUCAUGCAACCCUCUUAUGACUGGGAUGCCGUCAUGUGCCACUGACCAAUGCUAUCUCUCCAGAAAACCAUUCAAGACUCUUAAAAAAUCAGACUUAUAAUAAAUAUACAUAAAAUGAAGACACCAACUGCUCUUUGACAUGACUACGAUAAUGUCUGUGCUAUGUGGAAGCACAUUUAAAAAGAGCCUAUUCGGCAAAAGGUAAGUGUCUAAAGAUUCAAAAUGUAUCAACAGUAUUGGAUAACAAUAUAAUUCUCAACUCAGAAGCUGCCUCAAGAUUAGGUGCAUCUUCAGUUAAUGUGACAGGAAAAAAAGGCAUGGAUUUUAUUUUAUUAAUUGUAUCCACUUACAAACUGACCUAAGGUCACCUGAUAUGUAGAUACAGUGAGAUUUUUGUUGCUUAUAGUCUUUAAUUGAAGCGAUGAUAAAGGAAAUAGAUCUAUUUAAAAACAAAACCAAACAGCUAUUUCUGCUUAGAUUAAGAGGUGGCCCCGGGUGUGGGAUUCACAUUUUGAGUGGCCACUUGUGGUGCAAUCUCGAUGAUCAGGGGUUUGUCUAUGAUUCUGGCUGUGUGGUUGCCCUUCUCUACAAUCCCAAUAAUCCAUGCUUGGUGGUCUUCACCAUAUUUGGGGGACUUUAUCUCUGCACAGAACCGAGCUGUUUGCUCACAUGGUAAACAGAUCAGAAGCCCGCCUGUCCUGUUGAGCCUCGCCAUGUUCAUCAUCACCUCCUCGUAGGCCAGCUCUACAUCUUCUUGGGUGACCACUAGUUUAAUAUUAUUCCAUUUCUUAGGAAUAUCCAGCCACUGAUGCACAGCCACUGCCCCCUGUGUCCCCAGGGGUUUUGUCAACACCAGCACAUCCCCUGGUACUGCAUUGUCUGGCAUGAUAAAUUCACUGGGCUGACAGACAGUGGUAGUGACUCUUCCCAGGACAAUCCAGGGGUUUAGUACUGUUUGGCCGCCCAUUACAGACGUUUCUGCCUCCUCAGCUGCGUCUUUAAAACCUUGGAUAAUCAGAGGCAUCACUUUAUCCAUUUCCCUGUUGGUCAUUUUAUUACUGACUCCAAGGAGCAUCAGCAUAUUGUCACAUUCUGUGACCCCCAUUGCGUAGAGGUCACUGAGGACAUUGGCACAUGCUAUCCUGCCUGUCACGUAAGAGUCGUCUACAAUUGGGUAAAUGUAAUCUGUAGUUUGAACCAAGGAAAGCCCACCGUGUCUCAAAGGAAUGACAAGUAUCCAUUCCAAUGCCAAGCCUUGGCAUAAAGGCUCCCAGAAACUGCUCAUCUUCUUGGAAGUGGUUCUGUAAAGAUUCCAGCAAUUUUUGCAGGACAUCUUGGGGCACUUUGUAGCCUGUGCCCUUCAGUUCAGUGAAUCUGGUUAGCCGGAAGCUUUUGUCCAAUUCGUAACUUUCCGGGUUAAAGGACUCCCAUGUAGAUAUGGUUGUUGGGCCCCACUCUCCUCACAGCUCAGCCCCUCCCUUCCCUCUGCGAGUUGGCUGGGUUCUUUAUGGAUCCACCGGCUCGCUUUGCGCCCCGAGUUAAACUUUUUUCUAUAUAUAUGAGAUCAUGUAGUAUUUGUCUUUCUAUGUCAGGAUUAUUCCAUCUAGUAUGCUGUCUUCUAAAUUUAUCUAUAUUGAUUCAAAUGAUGAAACUUACCACCUUUGAAGGCUGAAUAGUAUUCCAUUGUGUAUCUAUACAACAUUUAUUUUAAAAAAUUAAAUAUAUUGAUUGAAAAACUCAUGUGUUAUAAAAGGGCAUUCCCGUCUUAAAGCACAUACUAGUGUACUUCAGCAUAUACAUAUCAUAUUAAUCGUUAAUUUGUACUGAGCAUUAACCAUAAUACUUUAAUGUGUUAAUAAAUUUAAUUCUCACAGUAACUGAAUAA
RNAcentral lists this long non-coding RNA (2313 nucleotides) under Homo sapiens (human). RNAcentral's name for it is "HSALNT0123665". Lineage: Eukaryota; Metazoa; Chordata; Mammalia; Primates; Hominidae. The record is from RNAcentral.